Molecule: ribosomal RNA, 433 nt
Filed under: uncultured bacterium
Lineage: Bacteria
Description: partial 16S ribosomal RNA
Rfam family: Bacterial small subunit ribosomal RNA
Source: RNAcentral
AACGAACGCUGGCGGCAUGCCUAACACAUGCAAGUCGAACGAGACCUUCGGGUCUAGUGGCGCACGGGUGCGUAACGCGUGGGAAUCUGCCCUUGGGUUCGGGAUAACAGUUGGAAACGACUGCUAAUACCGGAUGAUGACGUAAGUCCAAAGAUUUAUCGCCCAAGGAUGAGCCCGCGUAGGAUUAGCUAGUUGGUGAGGUAAAGGCUCACCAAGGCGACGAUCCUUAGCUGGUCUGAGAGGAUGAUCAGCCACACUGGGACUGAGACACGGCCCAGACUCCUACGGGAAGCAGCAGUGGGGAAUAUUGGACAAUGGGCGAAAGCCUGAUCCAGCAAUGCCGCGUGAGUGAUGAAGGCCUUAGGGUUGUAAAGCUCUUUUACCCGGGAUGAUAAUGACAGUACCGGGAGAAUAAGCUCCGGCUAACUCCGUG